This 594-nucleotide ribosomal RNA is filed under the name Geastrum fornicatum. RNAcentral describes it as "eukaryotic LSU rRNA". It matches the Rfam family "Eukaryotic large subunit ribosomal RNA", at positions 70 to 643 of the family's 3401-position model. Lineage: Eukaryota; Fungi; Basidiomycota; Agaricomycetes; Geastrales; Geastraceae. The record is from RNAcentral.
AAGGAUUCCCCUAGUAACGGCGAGUGAAGAGGGAAAAGCUCAAAUUUGAAAUCUGGCGGCCUACGGUCGUCCGAGUUGUAAUCUAGAGAAGUGUUUUCCGCGCUGGACCGUGUACAAGUCCUUUGGAACAAGGCGUCAUAGAGGGUGAGAAUCCCGUCUACGACACGGACUACCAGUGCUUUGUGAUACACUCUCAACGAGUCGAGUUGUUUGGGAAUGCAGCUCAAAAUGGGUGGUAAAUUCCAUCUAAAGCUAAAUACAGGCGAAAGACCGAUAGCGAACAAGUACCGUGAGGGAAAGAUGAAAAGCACUUUGGAAAGAGAGUUAAACAGUACGUGAAAUUGUUGAAAGGGAAACGCUUGAAGUCAGUCGCGUCUUCAGAAAUUCAGCCUUGCUUUUUUGCCUGGCGUACUUUUCUGUGGGACGGGCCAGCAUCAGUUUCGGCCGCCAGAAAAAGGUGGGAGGAAGGUGACACCUCCGGGUGUGUUAUAGCCUCUCAUCGUAUGUGGCGGCUGGGACUGAGGAAUGCAGCACGCCUUCAUGGCCGGGGUUCGCCCACGUAACGUGCUUAGGAUGCUGGCGUAAUGGCUUUAA